UACGUAGGUGGCGAGCGUUGUCCGGAUUUACUGGGCGUAAAGGGAGCGUAGGCGGACUUUUAAGUGAGAUGUGAAAUACCCGGGCUCAACUUGGGUGCUGCAUUUCAAACUGGAAGUCUAGAGUGCAGGAGAGGAGAAGGGAAUUCCUAGUGUAGCGGUGAAAUGCGUAGAGAUUAGGAAGAACACCAGUGGCGAAGGCGAUUCUCUGGACUGUAACUGACGCUGAGGCUCGAAAGCGUGGGGAGCAAACAGGAUUAGAUACCCCCGUAGU
This 271-nucleotide ribosomal RNA is filed under the name uncultured prokaryote. Its description in RNAcentral is "partial 16S ribosomal RNA". It matches the Rfam family "Bacterial small subunit ribosomal RNA", at positions 524 to 794 of the family's 1533-position model. The record is from RNAcentral.